UACGAAGGGGGCUAGCGUUGUCCGGAAUCACUGGGCGUAAAGCGCGUGUAGGCGGUUGUGUAAGUCCGGUGUUAAAGCCCCCGGCUCAACUGGGGAGGGUCACGCGAUACUGAUCGACUGGAAGGCAGGAGAGGGUAGUGGAAUUCCCGGUGUAGUGGUGAAAUGCGUAGAUAUCGGGAGGAACACCAGUGGCGAAGGCGACUACCUGGCCUGUUCUUGACGCUGAGGCGCGAAAGCUAGGGGAGCAAACGGG
Molecule: ribosomal RNA, 253 nt
Filed under: uncultured bacterium
Lineage: Bacteria
Description: partial 16S ribosomal RNA
Rfam family: Bacterial small subunit ribosomal RNA
Source: RNAcentral